This is a long non-coding RNA of Myotis brandtii (Brandt's bat), 91 nucleotides long. RefSeq lists it as uncharacterized. Lineage: Eukaryota; Metazoa; Chordata; Mammalia; Chiroptera; Vespertilionidae. The record is from RefSeq and is a predicted model, not a curated record. The transcript is spliced from 3 exons.
GCUCUAUCCACUGAGCCAAACCGGCCAGGGUUCCAUCAACCUUUUGAUGAAGCUUCUUGCAUUUAUGACAUACUGGAAUUAGCUUCCGGCA